CUUUGCAGUGGCUGGCCCGGUCAAAGUGCCCGGACAAGCAGGGUUGCCAAGGACGCAGUUGGGUGUGUAGUAGUGCUGCCGUAGUCCGAGGAGCGGCACUUGCUCGGGGUAGUUGGGGGUAGCUGACGAGCCGACGAGGAGAGGGUUGGUACCGCCGGCACCGCGGAUGGGUGCUGUUGGAGCUGGGGGGCGGCAGGUGAGGAGGUUUGUGCCGUUGGGGUGGAGUCCGGUGGCGGUGCAGGUGGGGCGGCUUGGGCCGUUGGGGAUUAGGGGGCCGGAGGUUAGGGUGCUACAGUUCGGGAUUGGGAUUGGGGCAGGGGCGGGGGCGGGGGCGGGGAGGCCAGCAGGACGGCGGCUACGGGGGACGAGGCCAUAGGAAGCGGGGAAGGAAGGCCGGCGACCCACGUGGCGGGGGCGGCGUCCACGUCGUCAUGCCACGAUAUGCAUUAGGCCCGAUGGACUACCCUGUCGGCUACGUCGGCGGUCCGCACGUGGUGCACUACGCAGGCGGCUUGUACAUGCGCGGGGUCGGCCCAGGCAUGUACGUCGUCGGCCCGCAGCGGCAAGGAGGGCCACACGUAGCAAUAGGACCUGGUAUGUGAUACUACGCAGGUACAAAAGGAGGUGCGGGUUACGGAGGACAACCACAACACGUUCAAGUUGCCGGUCGUUGUUAAGGACCUUAAGCACCACGAGGAGGAUACCAUCGGGGAGGACGGUCUGGCGGACGAGGUCGACAGUGUGGGCAACUGUUUGGUGGUUGACGUCAAAUACAGCCCUUCUAGCGGGGUUGUCACCUGUUACCAAACGAAGAAAGUGAAGAAGCCUAAACACCUGGACAGUUCUCAACCUUCGCGUGGGUUUUAGGUUCAUUACCGUUUGGUCAUCGCAAACCGAAAACACUCAAACUUAGACGACUUCCGUAGGAAGCACGCUGCGCCAACGACUUGUCUAACUCGCAACUACCCGUUCUUGACCACCAAUUAUAAUUACUACGGUGGUUUCUCAUGGACUUCUUUGUACAACUUCUUUUCUUCUUCCAUGUACUCUUGUGGUUUUUCCUCCUUCUACUUCCACCCCUACCCUGAAGACGACAACGACUUUUACUUAGUAACUUCGAACAAAGACCAUUUUGUCUACUUUGUCUUCUAAGGCCUCUAUUCCUAUCACUUCUUUUGUGGUUCUUUAAACCCUAACAAUGUUUACUUCUAAGACUCCGACUAUUCCGACGACGUCUUGAUUAUUUGUCAUAAUAACUUCUCACCAAUUUCUGAGCUGGGGACGGCGGCGGUGGUGGUGGGGGCGGCCAAGUUGGUAGACGACUGUAGAGUAGGUUUGUAUUAUUGCCCCUCAGACAACAGCUGUACCGUUACUGACUAAGACUUCUAUUACUACUAACACAACUGUUUUUCUGUCAAUCACUUUGACUUUUCUGUCUUUUACUGAGAGAACUAUCCUCCUUUCUAUUUCUCGUACUAUUCCUCUUCGUCCUUUUCCUUUUUCUUGAAGUUUCUAUACUCGCACUCGCACUCGCUCUUUCUCAGUCCUCCCUAUCUCUAUUUCUUGAGUUCGUAUCUCUUCACCUUUCCGACAUGUUUCUAGUGGAAUUUCUCACCCUUAGGUCCCUCUCUCUAUUUCUUAUAGUUUCUGUUAUACUCUUCCUGGCACUCUUCCUUUUUCUUGCACUUGCGUUUUCCCUCUAGUACUUCGUCCUUCUACUUUCGCUGCUUCUCCUAAGCUCCUUUUCUUCUGCCUCCUCGUCAUUGCGUGAACUUCUCUCCUUUUCCGCCUCCGUUGCGCUUUUCGUCCUUCUGAACCGCCUGUUUAAUUUUCUCCUUGUCCUUUAACGACUUCGUUCCUCCGCACGUUAUCUCGACGUUGUCGUCCGUCUACUUCGUCGACGCCGUCUCAGACGAUAUAAAUACCUCCAACUACCACUACUGGCCUUCCUUCGUCUACGUGGUUUGUUCGGCUAACAAAGUCUACUACUAUUACAACAGUCGUAACGAUUACCACAACUACGUCUACUACCGUUUUGAGUAUUCCUGACAUUGCCACUACUUCGUUCAUACCAUGGACCAGUUUAAGAUCUAUAGUUUGUUUUAUCGUUACGAGGUCGUUUUUUCAACCCAAAACCAAACUAACCGAGACCAUUUGCCUGUAGACAAGGUAGUCAAAAACGACUUCUCCUACUGCUACUAUUAUUCCUAUUUGCCUAUUCUGGAAAUCAUGGAUAACUAAUGAGGUGACUCCUUAACGUUCGACACCUCCGCCUAAGAAUAAGACUGGUUGGAUUAUUAUAACAUCGUCGACGACUCAAACGAUUCGCGUAGAACCAUAGAUUAGUUUUCCUUCUCGUCGGACUUUGGCUUUCCUCAUCCUCUCGGUAACUAUCUAGCUGGGAUUCCCUAUUUUCAGCUUUACUACUUCUACCACGUGCAGAACCACUACUGUCUUCUCUUUACUACGUACUAGCUCUGCUACUAUUCGGGUUCAAUCUCUUGUUCUUUCAAAACCUACGUUUUGUUAACUAACUGUACUAAGGCUCCUGUUUCCUUCUCGAAAAAAGGAUACUAUAAUUAACCCGUUAUAUACUCUUCGUACUCAACGUACUAUCUUACUCCGGAACCUAGAGCUUUUUCUAUUAACUUAAAGAACCACUCCUCCUUAGCUGAAACCACCUUAUAUAACAGAGCACGUGGUUUCUAGUACAGGUACGUAGCUUUUACGACCUCGAGGAUAGCAGCUAAAACCUGCAGCUCCGACUUUACAAACAGGAAUUCUACACCUCCUACGAUUAUAAACUUUAAUUCUUUCAACUUCGUCCUGAUAGUCAUUCUCCCUUCCGAAUUUCAACUCCGUUGACAGAACAUAUUGUAAAAGACGAAAAACAGACGUUGACAAAAGAAUGAAGAUUCGAAUACAACAUUCUGUCGACGACAUUUGUAAAGUCACUCUAGCUUAAUGACCAAGGGUAUACAAGACUACAGAUAACAUCUUUACAUAUGUACUUGACAACUACGAGUUAUAAACUAGACUUUAACAACGC
Molecule: ribosomal RNA, 3049 nt
Filed under: Triticum aestivum (bread wheat)
Lineage: Eukaryota; Viridiplantae; Streptophyta; Magnoliopsida; Poales; Poaceae
Description: partial small subunit ribosomal RNA
Source: RNAcentral